CUAAAUCAAAACAUACAUACAAUGAUUUUUUGGUGGAAAUUUGAACUUCUUAAUAUUAGGAGGUUAUAAAUAAAAUUGAGGGAGUGAUACCAAGAGAUCUUUGUUGACAAUUCCUUCAAAGAGAGAAGGUUUCAUCCACCCCUCAGCCAAAAGCCAGUUUCCUAGAUUCACUGCUUUGUAUGGCGGAUUUCCCAUUUUUGAAAUGGCUUGUAACCAAAGAUUGUGUGUUUGUCUGUGUGAGACUGUGUGUGUGUAUAUAUAAUAGCAAUGAACCAAUGUUACGAGUUAAAGGGUUCCAUAAGAAAUUGCUAUAUAAGUUUUGAAAUCUAUGUUGUGUACCAAAUGUAAAUUAGAAGUUUUAUUGGUAUUUUCUAAGUAAGAGAAUCUAUAAACACACUGUCUUUCGGUUUUGGAUUAAUGAUGUGGUAUCGAACUCAUUUGUGUGGUUGUUCUUGAUUCGAUGUGAAUGACCUCUUUGUUUCGAAAGUCUUUAUGUCAAUUUAGAAGGUGUGUUUUGUUGAUUGUCACAACAACGGUACAAGUACAAAUGUACGUGGAUGAAAGAAAAAUUGUUUAAUGAAUUAAUGGACUUAUACUUGAGGUGGAAAUUAUUGUAUACAUUAUAAUUGAGAUAUCCACGAAACGAAUGUCUUAAAAUUUUAGGUUAAGGAUAUGAUAUACAACUCAUGACCCAACAAUUUCUAAUUAUGGUGAGUUAUUGACACUCACUUAAAUUUUAAACUUUUGUUUGGGAAAAGAAUAAAAGAAAGAGUCCAGGUUGGCUGCGUUUCCGCUGCAUUAUUCAAAGUCUCUCUAGAUUUUAAUAUUAGGAAGUGUGGCUUUUAACAUAGACAAAUGGUGGCCAAGAUACAUCUAAAUAAAGUGGCAACUACACCCUCUCUCAUUAUUCCCAUUAUUAAUGUUAUAGACAAAAAUUUAUAUUUUAGAUUUAUUGAAUUGUUAAUUUAUUUGUUUUAUAAUAUUGGUAAGAUACAUCAAUUUUUCAAUAAAUUUAAAAAAUUAUUUUUUUACUUGAUAUGAAGAUGUAUAUUAUCCACCUUUUAGUAACAGUAAAAUGUUCAAUGGCACAUGUUAUCUACAGCCAACUUGUUCUUCCAACUUGCAAGUCAUUUAUCAGUAUUAUUAUUUUUUGACAAAUAGAGUUGCUAGUAUUUUUUGGACAGAAGUUACAAGUACUACCAAAAAAAGACGUUUUUUUUUUUGUUUUUGUUGAUCAUGUGUAGACGUAUUUUAUUAAAUUAGAAAAGACACUGGUUAUAAUUAUAAAGUUGCAUAUAUAAAAAAUAAAAAAGACUAAUUGAUAUUUUUAUGGGAGAUUUGAAUGAUUGUAUUAUUGAGUUGAAUAUGACAGCAAAUAUGGGCUGGAAUCUUGAUAUGAAGUGGCAACAUUUUUGGGCAACAUUGUUUAUGGUAAGACAAUUGUUGUCCACACUUCACACAAUGCUAAGAAACAUCUGAAAAAUGUUAAUUGGAGGGCUGAUGCUGAUUUAGUGUGUUCUAAACAAUAGGAAAAACAGUUGUUAUUGAUAGUUUCAGGUAACAAUAAGACAUGAUGAUAACAUUCAGCAAAAUAAUAAUUUUUUUUAGCUUGAUGAAAUAAUCAAUUUACAAAUAAUGUAGUAUUGCCUCCUCUCAAAAAAUAAAAUUUAGUCUUGCCCAGAAAUUUAUGUGCAAUUGUGUUCUUCCAAUAUAUAGUUGUUUAUGGAAUUUGAUAUGCCUUCAUAUAUUGAAAUGUAGUAUUUUAUUAAUUAGUAUAAGCACAAUACAUUUAUGGCCAUUACUUUUCCUCACCUUUGCUACUACAAAAUCCUCAUAUUAUUUAAGUUUACAGUCAGAUAAAGCGAGAAAUGUUAGCAAUACGUACUUUAACAUACACUUUUCAAUAUACUCUUUUUGAUUGGUUAAAAUUUACAUGAGUUUCAUCAAAUCAUGUGGUUCCCAUAUAAAUUUUGUGAGACGUAUGUGAACUUUAACCAAUCAAAGAGAGUAUUUGAAAAAUGUGUGUUGUUCUCGUUUCUUUGGAUAACAAAUAUUUGAUGUUCGGGGUGGGGAAAGUAACCCCUUACAUCUAGAGCUUUAUGUAACCAUUCUCGAUCAUCCACUUGAGACUCCAAUGGUUAUAUUGACAUUUGUAUGCCCAAUAAGCCCAUCCAAAUGUUGCACGAGAAUACACAUCUAGUUGUGCUUGGCCAUAUCUUUGGUAGUCUUGCAUAGAUGCACCUUGCACAAGAAACUCAUCAGUCCAUUCCCCUAUCAAAAGAAAAAAGCAAAAACAUAUAGUUAUCACCAAUAUAUAAUAUAACCUCCAAGAACUAUCAAUAAAGUUAUCUAGGACAUAAUAUAACAUAUAGUUUGUUUGAUUGUUGAUAUAUUUGAAAAAUAUGAUAGUAAACAAGAUACAAAGUUUGGAAGAAAAAAAACUGUAUAAGUUGUUCUAGAGAAUCUGAGUUUGAAUCUUGAGAUUUGACACUUACCUACAAAACUAAGAGCGUUUGUUGAAGAGACGCCGCUAAGAUCUGAGGCUCUUUCGUUGUUUAUGUAGUCAAUAUUUUGUUGAACAUUCAUGUUAGUGAAUUUGUCCGAAUAAAGAUUGUAGUAAUGCACAUCAAGGACAACUUUGUUGAAUCCAGUGACAAAUGAGAGAAGUACUUUAGAAUCUGCAUCCAAUGGGUUUGACAUUAUCACAUAAGCAUUUGGAUUGUAUUUCCUCACUGCAUCAUAAGCCUCCUUGUAAUAUUUCUUGAGGCUAUCUAGAUUGACACCUUGUGGCUCAUUCAUCAACUCUAUUCCUCCUAAACUUGGUCUAUUACCAUACCUGUCCACAAAUUCAAUUCAAGUAUCAAAGAAAUCAGUCACUUAAUUAGUACAUAUCAUCAUAUAUAUCAUUAGAAUUCAAGUCUAAGUGGUUAGUCCCACAUUCAUUAUGAAUAGGCUAAAUGAUUGAUAUAUAAGAAAGGUAACUCGUAUAUUUAAUGUUUUAAAUUUUUGUGUGGAGAUCUGAAGUCAAGAUGUGGCAUGUUACGUAGGUGGUGUAUUUUGGCAGUUCUGAUAACUAGAAUCAGGUGGCAUGUCUCGUCAAGAGCAACAACGAACUAAACAGAUGAAGAAAAAUCUUGGUGCGUCCAAACGGCCUGAACCAUGGGAAACAUGUGAGCGGGAAUUUGAAUUCAAAUUCUGACAGGUAGGUCCCUCAAGAAAGGGAACUUCCUACUUUUUAUGCAUUAUGGCGGACACACUUGUAGAUAAUAACCACUCAUAUUUGAAUAUUAUACUACUUAUACUCGAUAUAUGGGAUACCUCUCUUGUAUUAUUUUUGUUUAACUCAUUUCUACUCGAUAUGAGAUGAGACUAAUCACUCACGCUUCAAUUCUAGUGUAUAUCACACAACUAUUAAAGAGAAGAAACUCAUGAGUCCAUUAUCAAGAAACAAACCUUUUUGCUAGGAAAUCUAUGACAGAGACUGUCUGAGGUAUGUAUGAUUCACCCCAUUCUAUAAAUCCAUCUCUUGUUCCACUGUGAUCAUUACCAUUUUGAGAACCUUCAACUGCAUGCAAGUCCACAAUCACUUUCAUCCCAUGGAUUCUGUAAAUUACAAAGAUAUAUACUUGAUUGGUAAUCAUGAAACAUUAAGAUAAAAUAAAAUAAAAAAAGCAAAUUAAAUGAGCACAAAAAGGUACAUUACUUGUUACGCGACGCUACUAGAAAAAGUUAAAAUAACAACGGAAAUUCAAUAAAAAAAAAUAUUUAAAAUUGGUCACCAAAUUUAGUUUGUCUAACACUUCGCAACGGAUAUUGUCUUUCUGUCUCUAAAUUUUCAUCGCUAUUUCAAUUUUUCUAAUAGUGUGUUGCGAUUUAAUUAAAAUAUCGUCUCAAAGACUUACUGUGCCCAUGUGAAAGCAUUGUCUAAUGCUGCCAAUGAUCCUCCAACAAAAGGCUUAGGUGGGUUUGGAUCUUGAGCUAUCCACCAUCCAACAGGUAUUCUCACUGCAUUUAAUCCAUUUUGUGACAUGAAUGUGAAAUCAUCUUCAGUUAUGUAAGAAUUCCAAUGGUCCUGCAAAGCAAACAAAGCUCAAAAUUAAGAUGAUAUGGAAAUCCAACAAAGAUUUUCAACAAGUAAUAGUUUCUCAUGAAAAUUUUAUAGGAAUUCUCACCCUUAACACUUGAGGAGCUUUAUCUGGACCAUAACCAUUAGUAAGUUGGUACUCUCCUUCUAAAGUUCUUACAAUUUUCAUACGAAAUACUGAUGGGUCACUUUCUUCCCAACUUGUGCCUUGACCAUAAUCAGCUGUCACUAAUGUCUCUGAUCGAACCUUCAUACAUAUAUGUCAAAGGAUUUACAUUUCUAUGUUAAUUAUUAAUAACUUAAUCAACAAGCUAUCACUAUGAAAAAGUUGAAUUAAAUUAGAUACUCCCUCCUUCAGUCUCAGUUAUCAGCAAAAAUUCAUUUUCUAGAUUCAUUCAAUAAUUAAUGUAUUUGGUCCAUAAUACAGACCAGAUACAUUAGUUAUUGAAUAAAUCUAAAAAAAUUAACUUUUGCUUAUAACUGAUAUCAGAAUGUUGUCUCUAUUAGAGUUGUCAAAAUUUGAGACCAGUUUCAUUUUUCUUAUGUCUUGUAUUAGUAGUUCAACUUCUUCUUAUAGCAUUUUAAGAUCUUGAUUGAAAAAGAAUUGGUUUCUUAAAGUUUUUUUAGAAGUUCAGUAUUUAUUUAGAAUACAUAAUUUGGUAAAAAAUUUCCAAAAUAAACAACUUGAGGAUGGAAUGAAUUGAUGAGUACCUGCCAAUAUAGACCAUUUGAUGCUUUGAUUCGAAUUUUGAGGGGAUCACCACUGUUCCUUAUAAUCUGAAAUGUUUCUUGGUUGCUAGGUGAAUUUGAAACGGCUACAAUUUUGUUGUCUCCUUGAUUAUUUAUCCCCAUAAAUUGCUUGUUAAAGACUCUAAAAUUGAAGUAUGUGUCAUUGACCCUCCAAAGCUGCAAGUGCAAAUAGUUAGAAUUUACCAAGGGUGAUUAAGAUUUCUAAAGUUUAGUGUGUGUGACAAAAAAAAGUAGAAAACACUUGGUAUAAAGGAUGAUAGUUAAGUGCAUUUAAUUUUAUUGAUUUUUGGCUUAAAUAUAUUUUUCAUCCUUGUAAUUAUAGGCCGUUUGAUUUUUCAUCCAUGAACUUACUAAUCCUUCCAUUUUGCCCCUGUAAUUACUAAUCAUUUGAAAGUUCGUCCCUCUUCCCGGAUAAUCACUGCCACGUCAUCAAAUUAGCAAAAUGGCAUGGGAAUUGACAAAAAUACCCCUGGCUUAUUUUUAAAAUUCUGAAAAUUGUUUUUAUAAAUUAAAAAAUCUGAAAAUAAUUUUAAAAAAUAAAAAAAAUUCUAAAAAUAUUUUGAAAAUAACUUUUUCGAAAAAAAAUGAAAUUAUUUUUCAAAUAAUUUUAAAAAAUAUAUAAUCAGAUUUUUUCGAAAUUAAUAUUCUGAUUUUUAAAAAAAUCUUUAAAAAAAAUCAGAUUUUUUAAUAAUUUUCGAAAUUAUAUAUUCUGAUUUUAAAAAAAAUAUAUAAUUUUCCAUUUUUUUUUCAUAUUUCAAAAAAUAUAUUUUUUAAAAUUAUAUAAUCGUAAAUUUUUUCGAAAUUAUUAUUAUGAUUUUUAAAAAAAUCAUAUUUUUUAAUAAUUUUUGAAAUUAUAUAUUCAGAUUUUAAAAAAUUAUAUAAUUUUAUAUUUUUUUCAUAUUUCAAAAAAUUAUAUUUUUUUAAAUUAUUUUCAGAUUUUUAAAUUUUUAAAAAUAAGCCAGGGGUAUUUUUGUCAAUUCUCAUGCCAUUUUGCUAAUUUGAUGACGUGGCAGUGAUUAUCCGGAAAGAGGGACAAACUUUCAAAUGAUUAGUAAUUACAGGGGCAAAAUGGAAGGAUUAGUAAGUUCAUGGAUGAAAAAUCAAACGGCCUAUAAUUACAGGGAUGAAAAUCAUAUUUAAGCCUUGAUUUUUUUUAUAAAAUAGAAAACACAUUUACUAGUCUACACCUAAUUGUAAAUUUUCCCUCAAAAAAAAAAAAAAAAAAAAAAAACCUAAUUGUAAAUUUGUAAUGAUCCUCUCCUCAUAACAGUGAAGGAUUGAUGUAAGGUUAUGUUUAGAACAUAUAAAUUUAAGGUGUUUAUAAUACUUAAAUUUUGUUUUUAUUUAUCUAACAAAUUUAAUCAUUUUACUUAUAACUUAGGGUCCGUUUUUUUCCUGUGAUGAUUGGGAUUCGAAUCCCAGACGUUGCAUAUAUUAUGCAUUGUUCCUACCAACUGAGUUAAGCUCACGAGGACACUUAGGGUCCGUUUGUUAUAUAUAAAAAAUAGUAGCGAUUUUUUCUUUGUGUUGUUUUAAAAUAUAUAUAUAUAUAUAUUUAUGAAAAUUGUCUCAAAUAUAGUAACAAAUUUUUAAAUUCAUUUAUUAUAAUUAAAAAAAGUUAUUUUCAUAAUAAUUAACUUAAUUUUUAUUGUUAGAUAUUAAACAUUAAAAUCACAUUUUUUUCAAAAAUGAUUUAAACAAAAUGAUAUUAAACAAAAAUAGCUUCUCAUUUUAAACAUUUUUCUAAAAAAAAUAUAUUUAAAAAAGCUGUACCAAAAGGAUAAAAUAUUUAAAAUAACAUUUUAUGAGAAACAAUUCAAACCAAUUUAUCAUUUGAAAUUUUUUAGAAGAAAAAAAAUGUUAAAAAGGUUAUAACAAAAAGAUGAUUUAAAAAAAAAAUAAAUAAAUAAAACUAUGACAAACAACUGAAAUGAGAGUAAUAUGUUACUUACCGGGAAUGUUUCCCAACCAGAAGCUGAGUCACGGUUGGCUACAAUACCUGCUCCUCCCCCAUUAUCAGCUGCAAGAUAUUUUUGAAACUUUGUGGACAUAAGUUGUACUUGAGUUCCAUCCUACAAUCACCAAAUGUAACAAAAAGUUGUUCAUUUACAUAAAGAAAAAUGUUACAUAAACACUGUUUAUUCAUACACCUUUGUACACCCAUGCAUUAGGAAGAGAGAAGAGGAGAUGAAAGAGAAAAUGUGUUUGUGUGGAGUCCACGUAACCAUAUGUCAGAUUUUUGUGUGGGUGUCAAGGGGGGUGUAUUGCAACCUAUGGUUGACUAUGUAUCAUAACUCUUACAUAAAACACACAUGCAAAGUAUAAACAAUGUUGUCGUACAUGAAUCAUUUCCCUUUUUGUGUGACUUUUACUCAAGUAAUCAGGAGCAUCUUUAAUGGAGAGUCAUUUACUUAAUAAAAAUCUCACAUUAUUAAAGAUCCUCAUUGAAGGAAGAAAAAAAUGUAUAUCUAUUAAUUAGCGACAGCUAUAUAAAAACUUUAUAUUCAUCAACUAUAGAGUCUCAAGUUAAAAAAGGAAAUAAAGUAGUUAAAACUUUGUCUCCUCAUCUCAAGUUCAUUUGUUUUUUUCUCUUUUUAAUUUAUUUUUAUUAAUUUUUAAAUACACAUAUUAAAGUACAUAUUAUUGUUAAAGUACAUAUUAUUGGAUCUUUACUCUUUUCAGUUUAUUACCAUUGGAAUUAUUGAGACCUUAAUAGGUACUUUAAUUUCAAAAUUAUAAAUAAAUGAUGUGUACAUGUGAGACUCAAAGUCUUUAGUUUACUACUAUUGUGGAUGUUCUAUUAAGAAUUCAAAAAUGGAAACAAUCGAUAAUCUUUUUAUAGAAAAAGUUUUUUUUUUUUUUGUUAUUUAAAUGUGUUGAAUACAUAAAUCUCAAGAUAAAUGCUUCUCAUCAUGUGUCUUGCAUUUACCUCAACUUAAUUUGGUAAACUUCAAAAAAUUACUCCCUUCGCGCAAUUAAAUAUAUAAAACCUUUUGACAAUUUUUUUAUGCUUCUUUUAAAUUUUCAACUGUAUUAAUUAUUUUUACCCAUAUAUCUCUUCUUAUGUUACAUCUUUUUUGUAACAUGUAAUAAGUAUUAUAAUGAAAACAUAAUUACUUUUAUCUCAUAAAAGAUAAACUUGUCAAACAAUAUCGUACAAGUUAUCAGUAAAUUUACUACUUCUACCAGAAUAAGAGUUAAGAAAUAAGAGAAUUGAAGAUUCCCCAAAUUCUCUCUUCCAUAAACAAAAUUGCUUUAAUGUUUUAACUAUAUGAAAUGAUAUUAUGUGAUACGUACCAAUAGAUCUUUGUUGACAAUUCCUUCAAAGAGAGAAGGUUUCAUCCACCCCUCAGCCAAGAGCCAGUUUCCUAGAUUCACAGCUUUGUAUGGUGGAUUUUGUGCAAGCAAACUAGAGUAGGGACAUGAGAGAAA
Molecule: long non-coding RNA, 8266 nt
Filed under: Medicago truncatula (barrel medic)
Lineage: Eukaryota; Viridiplantae; Streptophyta; Magnoliopsida; Fabales; Fabaceae
Description: long non-coding RNA (MTRU_LNC000114)
Source: RNAcentral